UGGGGGUCGAGGAUUAUUUUGAGGGAUCGGUGCAUGACAUUGUGGAUAAGAAAAUGGAUGAGCAUACAAUUGUACAUUAUUCAAAGGAUACUGAGGAAGUGGGAUAAAAUAUGUUGGAUUUUGUACAGAGGAGCCUUGUUGUAGGUGAGCAUGUGGAUUUGAUGUGCAAGCUUGGGAUUGACACUGACAAUAUUGCUGAGUUGGACCUCUUGAGCUCUGCUUUUCCC
Molecule: long non-coding RNA, 227 nt
Filed under: Capsicum annuum
Lineage: Eukaryota; Viridiplantae; Streptophyta; Magnoliopsida; Solanales; Solanaceae
Description: long non-coding RNA (CANN_LNC008097)
Source: RNAcentral